UAGGGAAUCUUCGGCAAUGGACGAAAGUCUGACCGAGCAACGCCGCGUGAGUGAAGAAGGUUUUCGGAUCGUAAAACUCUGUUGUUAGAGAAGAACAAGGACGUUAGUAACUGAACGUCCCCUGACGGUAUCUAACCAGAAAGCCACGGCUAACUACGUGCCAGCAGCCGCGGUAAUACGUAGGUGGCAAGCGUUGUCCGGAUUUAUUGGGCGUAAAGCGAGCGCAGGCGGUUUCUUAAGUCUGAUGUGAAAGCCCCCGGCUCACCCGGGGAGGGUCAUUGGAAACUGGAAGGCUUUAGUGCAGAAGAAGAGAGUGUAAUUCCAUGUGUAGCGGUGAAAUGCGUAGAUAUAUGGAGAAACACCAGUGGCGAAGGCGGCUCUCAGGUCUGUAACUGACGCUGAGGCUCGAAAGCGUGGGGAGCAAACAGG
RNAcentral lists this ribosomal RNA (429 nucleotides) under Gemmatimonadota bacterium. RNAcentral describes it as "Gemmatimonadetes bacterium partial 16S ribosomal RNA". It matches the Rfam family "Bacterial small subunit ribosomal RNA", at positions 355 to 776 of the family's 1533-position model. The record is from RNAcentral. Lineage: Bacteria; Pseudomonadati; Gemmatimonadota.